This 32-nucleotide non-coding RNA is filed under the name Mus musculus (house mouse). The record is from RNAcentral. Lineage: Eukaryota; Metazoa; Chordata; Mammalia; Rodentia; Muridae.
UUUACUACUCCCCUCGGCCCUGAACUGGGACC